RNAcentral lists this transfer RNA (73 nucleotides) under Stegodyphus mimosarum. It matches the Rfam family "tRNA". Rfam says of the family: Transfer RNA (tRNA) molecules are approximately 80 nucleotides in length. Their secondary structure includes four short double-helical elements and three loops (D, anti-codon, and T loops). The record is from Rfam by way of RNAcentral. Lineage: Eukaryota; Metazoa; Arthropoda; Arachnida; Araneae; Eresidae.
GCCUUGGUGGUGUAGUGGUUAGCACGCUCGGCGCGUAUUCGAGAGGUCCGUGGUUCGAGUCCCGGCGACGGCG